UACAUAGAGCUGUCUUCUUUGCCAACUCAAGAGAAUGGGAAUGUGGAGAUGUGAGGAUGGUCACACGUUAACUAAGUUAGCAUCACCCAAGUGGUGAAGGCACAGCAAUCAGAUUGGAUGCAGUGGAGAGAAAGAAGAUAGAUGUCAACAGGGAGAGACAGGAAGCACCAGAAAGGACUGACCUAUCUCAUACGAAGAAAUGUGUCUGAUGGGUGGAAUAGCUGCUCACGAUUACAAUUCCUCACCAAUAGAUGCAACUGAGAUGGAAAACAAGUUUAAAUCUCUCCAUGGGUGAAAAGAGGCACUUCACUGCUUUUGUGAAGAUGGCCUGUAGAGCACUAAAUCAUAAAUUUUUGCAUAUGC
RNAcentral lists this long non-coding RNA (363 nucleotides) under Phasianus colchicus (ring-necked pheasant). Its description in RNAcentral is "lncRNA (ENSPCLG00000004380.1)". Lineage: Eukaryota; Metazoa; Chordata; Aves; Galliformes; Phasianidae. The record is from RNAcentral.